GCAUCGGUGGUUCAGUGGUAGAGUGCUCGCCUGCCACACGGGCGGCCCGGGUUCGAUUCCCGGCCGAUGCA
This 71-nucleotide transfer RNA is filed under the name Heliconius melpomene (postman butterfly). RNAcentral describes it as "tRNA HMEL012651". It matches the Rfam family "tRNA". From Rfam's summary of the family: Transfer RNA (tRNA) molecules are approximately 80 nucleotides in length. Their secondary structure includes four short double-helical elements and three loops (D, anti-codon, and T loops). Lineage: Eukaryota; Metazoa; Arthropoda; Insecta; Lepidoptera; Nymphalidae. The record is from RNAcentral.